RNAcentral lists this unclassified non-coding RNA (238 nucleotides) under plant metagenome. Its description in RNAcentral is "partial contains small subunit ribosomal RNA and internal transcribed spacer 1". The stretch from base 1 to 46 matches the Rfam family "Eukaryotic small subunit ribosomal RNA", at positions 1786 to 1831 of the family's 1831-position model. The record is from RNAcentral.
AAGUCGUAACAAGGUUUCCGUAGGUGAACCUGCGGAAGGAUCAUUAAAGAGAAAAUGGGCUUCGGUCCUGACCUCCCAACCCUUUGUUUACCUUACCACUGUUGCCUCGGGCGGGUCGUCGACCCCUUUGACGGGGCGCCGCCGUCGGGCCUUCAAACGCUUUCGAGUGCCCGCCGCAGGCCCAAUCUAAAUUCUUGUAAACCCAGUCUUUCUGAGAGUAAAUUUAAUACUUCAAAAG